UACGAAGGGGGCUAGCGUUGUUCGGAAUUACUGGGCGUAAAGGGCGCGUAGGCGGCGUGUCAAGUCAGGCGUGAAAGCCCCGGGCUCAACCUGGGAACCGCGCUUGAGACUGGCAUGCUCGAGUUCGGGAGAGGAUGGUGGAAUUCCCAGUGUAGAGGUGAAAUUCGUAGAUAUUGGGAAGAACACCGAUGGCGAAGGCAGAUCUCUGGGCCGUAACUGACGCUGAGGAGCGAAAGCAUGGGGAGCGAACAGG
This 253-nucleotide ribosomal RNA is filed under the name uncultured bacterium. Its description in RNAcentral is "partial 16S ribosomal RNA". It matches the Rfam family "Bacterial small subunit ribosomal RNA", at positions 524 to 776 of the family's 1533-position model. The record is from RNAcentral.